Oryza sativa Japonica Group (Japanese rice) is the source of this 493-nucleotide long non-coding RNA. RefSeq lists it as uncharacterized. The record is from RefSeq and is a predicted model, not a curated record. Lineage: Eukaryota; Viridiplantae; Streptophyta; Magnoliopsida; Poales; Poaceae.
GCCCAUGUAGUGUGUCGCCGGCUUGCGUCCGCCGCCGCCGCCUGACCGAAAGCGACGCAGCCAUGGCCGGAGCUGCUGCCGAUCGCCGCCGCGCUCCCCUCCCCUUUCCCCACAUUCCGGCGGCCGGCGCGGCCGGCGGGCCCACUUCUCGCUCUCGUUGCAGAUACACCUAAUAUUACAGUACCUCCAAGCAGCCACAUCAUAUGGUCAUCUUUACCAGUUCUUGUUUGACAUUCCUUCUUUAAACAUGCAGGAUCUUUCCUGUUUGGCCCAUACCAAAUCGAGCAGUCCUUUUCCAUGCCUGUAUUCAAGUGGGACGUGAUCAGCUAGCUCCAGAUUCUCCUUAGCAAAAGGUGAAGAAAGAAAAGAAAAGGUGAAGGAAAAGAAAAGUACCACUAAGUCAAUAUGCCAAAGGUCUUCCCUCAUCAAUACAUAAGCUAUUUCGUCUGGAACUUGUGGAAAGAAAGAAGGGGAGAAUAAAAGUGCAACAUGG